Syngnathoides biaculeatus (alligator pipefish) is the source of this 2862-nucleotide long non-coding RNA. RefSeq lists it as uncharacterized. The record is from RefSeq and is a predicted model, not a curated record. The transcript is spliced from 3 exons. NCBI's taxonomy places the organism in Eukaryota, Metazoa, Chordata, Actinopteri, Syngnathiformes, Syngnathidae.
GUCCUCCUCUUGACCCCCCACUAACCGACUCGUCUCAGCUUUUCUACCAGUAGUUCGUAGUGUUUUCCCAGACAAACUUCGCAGGUCACCAGUGGAAGUCUCUGGGGUUUUCUGAGAUCAGCACCAUCAGUCAUGUGCAGGGGGGGCAUUCUCUGGCUUCGGUGCCGCCUUCCAGUGACCAUACAAGGUAACAGAAGAAUGCUGGCUCGAAAGUCCAUCUGCUUCAUAAAGACAACACAAGGAUGCCAGAGGGGUCCCACACUGAUGGUGAUCACUGUUUUCGGGGAGUGUUCAAAGAAACAGACCAGACCAAGACUUGCCGAGUGACCAUGAUGUGACAUCUUCCAACAAGUACUCACUGCUCAUCCACUCACAGACGGAUGUUGGAAGGCGAUUUCCCAAGAGGUGUUGCAGAGGAGAUGAGGUGACGUCGCUUCAUUGAUGCUCUUCACUCUGACUUGGGUACAUCUUCUAAUGCAGUGCAAUCGUCUUCAACCAACGCUUUCCCUGUUUGCCCGCUUUGCUUUGACACUGACAGAGAAGUAUUCGUUUAGUUUAGCAGGUGUUAAUUUUCAUAUCUUUUGACCCAAAAAAACAUUUCUGUAAAACAAAAAAACCCAACUAUUUUUCAAUUAUUUUUUAUUGUUUUAUGCAGCCUUGUUUUUAUAUGGGUAAAUCCUUCCCAUGCAGAAACAGCCACAUUUGAAGGCCUAUUUUGAAAAACGUAUUGAUGAUUUAACAUUUCAAGCAUUUAUAGUAAAGCCGAUCCUCAUUGACAGAGCAAAUGGCGGUGGCCUAUUAUGACACAUUUCUCACAGGAAAGACAUGCAAUAGUUCCGAUACUUUCACAAAUGUACACAGAGCUCAGAAAUCAAAUCAUUCAUUCGGCGGUCUGCUCUUGUGGCGCUCAUUGAAAGGAUUAAGAUGAUUAAGCAGUAGGAAUAAAAUCUUAUGCUCUGUAUACAAAUAUGUUAUUUGUAUCUUCAGAUAAUGUUGCAAAUCAUCAAACUACUGUAAUUGGAAAAACAUUUUGCCAUUAAAAGUGUGAAAAAUAUUAAGUUAGAAUAUAUUUCCCAUUAUGAACAAUUAUUGUCGUGUGAAUGAUUGAAAACUGGCAACUCAUUCAAAUAGUUACAUGAGUAAAACUGAUUCCUUUCUGUUAUCGUCAUGUGAAAAUGAAGCUCAAAUUUAGCAUUCCGGUUGUAAAAUACGGUGGUGUAGAACUUCCCAGCAUCAUGCUGAGAACUGUUUCUCAAAUGUUAUUGCUUCACUAUUGAUUGACAUCAAAGAGGUAAAAUAUCAGAAGCAGCUCUCCGUAUAAUGCUUUGUACUGCUACACCACUCGAAACUACAAUCAAAAUAAACUGUGAAAUUAAUACUAGCUGACAUUCAAUCAAAUGUGAGCAUUGAUAUUAUUAUUCCAUCCAUCCAUUUUCUUUGCCACUUAUCCUCACAAGGGUCGCGGGGAGUGCUGGAGCCUAUCCCAGCUGUGAACGGGGAGGAGGCGGUGUACACCCAGACCUGGUUGCCAGCCAAUCGCAGGGCACAUCGAGACAAACAGCCGCACUCACAAUCACACCUAGGGGCAAUUUAGAGUGUCCAAUUAAUGUUGCAUGUUUUUGGAAUGUGGGAGGAAACUGGAGUGCCCGGAGGAAACCCACACAGGCACGGGGAGAACAUGCAAACUCAACACAGGCGGGUCCGCGAUUGAACCCAGGACCUCAGAGCUGUGAGGCCAACGCUUUAACAGAUUAUCCACCAUUCCGCCUGAUAUUAUUAUUACUUUUUUUUUGUAGCACACACACACUUACUCUUACCCUCACUAUAUUUUUGGAAGAUGUCAAAAUAUCCUCCAACAUUUGAGUAAGACCAUCUGAAAAGUUGUGUAUGUGUGUGUAACAUGAGAGGGAACAGCACAGGAAGUUUGAAUGAUGUCCACUGAGAGUUCAAGUCAUUUCCUGUUUACCGUUCCCAUGUAAUAGUCUGUUUGCACCCCUGCCCCCACAUCCAAAGUGAUCCCUCCCUACGGCCCACGGUGCAGUGCUGCAUCUCUGGUCAGUUGAUAGUCUGAGAUGAAGCACUGUAGCUCGGGACGGAGGUCCGCUUCAGAGAGCGACAUUUAGAAAGUUUACAGGUGCAUCACAACUAUAGUUCACGUUUAGAAUUAAUCUCCUGGAAAAAAAUAAACUUGUCAUUGAUCGUCAUAUUUACUGAUAUUGUAUAUCUAUGUAUUACUAUAUUUUUAAAUCAAUAUAAAUUUGAUUUACUGCCUAAUUUGUCCCUUGCCAUUUAUUCCAUACAAAGAAAGCAGUCUGGAAUUUUCUGUUUUGCUCCUCUCUCCUGGGGUCCAGUUUUCCCAGGAAUCCCUUGACUCGUCUAAAAGGGGAUUCCUGGAAAUACUGUUCUUAGGGGCAAGGCCAAGCGACAAUUUGCGUGAGAGCCGGAAGCUUAUGAAAUAUGAGUGUCAAAAUCAAAUGGUGGUGAGUUCAUGUGUUCAAUGCACAGUAUGAGUAUACACACAUAUGCAUAAAUAGUGGCAGCGUGCAACUGGAGGGUCGCCCGAGUGCAUGUUUUCAUUGUGUCCCUGGGUUAGACAGCCAACCCACAAUGUGAUCGGACUUUUGGUGGAGGUCGGAGGGGCCGUAAGCGCAGAAUGGCAGUCACGCUUGCAUCAGACUGCACCAGGGGACUGUGGCGAUACAAGUAGGCUACCACUACUAGAGUGUUACUGUGGAGUGAGAACCUCUUUGAGUGCCUAGAAAAGUGUAUGUGUGAUUAUAGUUGAUGUUUUAUUUUUUAUUUUUAUUUUUUAGAAAAGGUUGUGAGAACGCACGAUAAUAAACCACACCAUGAUAAACCUCA